AGAAAAUCAAUGACAAUUCAUCCUGCACAGCUCCUCAAUGCUAGCAGCCAUUAUUUGUUGAUGCCGAUUCCCACUGAAGAGGUUUUGAAUAACACAACAGGCAUGGCCCCGAUUGCUGAGUGAACUAUGAUUAGAGUUGAUGAAAUUAGUAUUACUUCAGUCUUUGAUGUUUACCAAGAGUGCUCUUCUCAGCAUCCACAAUUUAUCCAGAAUUGCCUCUUUCUCAAGUUCACAAGGAGCUACGUCUAUCAACAGCAUAGAUACAUGGACUCUGAAGGCUUUGUUUUAGCACAGCAUCACUCUUGCUCUGAACAGCAGUGGAAGCAUAUCCUGUAAUACAUGAUAUUCAGUAAGGAGAUGAUGAGAACAAAAAAAAAAUUAGUGAAGAUGCCAGUGGAAAAAAGUAAAAAUGCAUUGUGUUUGAAUUUGUGUAGAUGUGUUUAAAGCUUUGUUGCCCUUGUCUUAGGAUGAAAUACAAAUGCCAAUAUUUCCAUUUGUAUACAAGUUUCUCAGUAGUUCCUUUUUACUACAUUGUUCCCAGAAUGCAUAAAAGAACUACUGGUCUGUAGUUACUGAGUUUAGUUUUGGAGCUCGCUGCAUGCAACUGCACUAUUGUAACCUUAAUCCAGGCUUUAAGUAUCCCAGCUGUGUCCUUGUAGAGAAUGAACAACUUCACUCCUAUGUAGAUAAAACAUCAGUUCUCAAUAGCUCUCAUACCCUUCCUGUCUCUGUUGUAACCACUCACUCAUCCUCAGUUCACUGCUGCAGUCUCUAAAGUCUGUCUUACCUUGUAAUAAAGCAUUUGUUUCAUGUACAGUCCCCCUGCUUUUCUUACUGGUUUCUUAUAUAUGUUUUUCAUUAAUAAAUUACUAUAUUAGAACAGUAUUAAUAUUGCAUCAUGUCUUUAACAUCUCGUGUGCAGUGAGAAAUAAGUAUUAAAUGUGACCUCAUCUAUAGGAGAUAUAGUAAUUUUAUGAGUGAAUGGGUGGUGAGGGGCUGAGGGCAAAAUGGAUGAUAAACAGCAGUUACAUGCUAGAAGUGAGCAUCUGUGUGCAUCCCAUGAUGGGCUGUCAUUUCAUCCACAUUUCUUCUCUGCCUUAUUCAGUUACUUGUUGGGAUAAGUUCUGGCUCCCUCACAACGUAGAAUAAGACAGAAGAUAUUGGAGAAUGAAUGAAUAUAUAAUAUGUAUUGUUCAGUAAGCAAAAUUCAGUGUUGCUGAGAUAAUCAAACCAGACUUCAUAGUGCUUCAGAUUGCAAAGUUGCAAUGCAGUCACAGAACUCUGGACAAUUUUUAGUACUGAACGUCUGCUUUCUCAAAGUCUUUGAAGAUGCCAAUUAAUGCUGGGUGAUUUUUUUGCACUGAUAAUGUCAUUUUUGCAGGGUUUUUUUUUUUGGGGGGGUUGUCUUUUUUCUAAAGAAGUAACAUCCCCAUAUAUUGCAGUCAUAUUUUUUUCUUUGCUUGUUGCAGGCCGCCCCAAUGUAGAAUACACUGCAUUAGUUAGAUGCUGCCUAUGAUGUCCGAGCCCCAUUACAUCACUGACACUGCACUGGAUGCUUGGGGAGUGUGGUACUUCUUCUCUGGCAUGUGUUAAAAACAGCCUUACAGAUAAUUGCUUUAUUUUCUUUCCUUUUCUUUCUUUCUUUCUUUCUUUCACUUUCUUUCUUUCUCUUCCUUCCUUCCCCAUCUUUCUGCUUAUUUAUGAAAACCAUGCAACUAUACACACUGCCCAUGAUGCACUGAUCAUACAAUAGAAAAUACUCUGCAUUGGGUGAGGACUUUUUUUCUGCACAUACAUUGUAGAUGUAUUUAAUGUAGUAUAAUAUAAAGUUAUGAAAAGCCAGAGAUACUUUAGCAUUUAGGGUCACUUUGUUUUUUUCUUUUCUGUCUUUACCUUGUGUUUGUCUUAGUUGCCUUUCUAGGCAUGAAAACUGCAUGAGUCACUGUCACAGUAUUGGAGGAAAACCCUGGCUUCCCUCGAUUUUUCUCUACAUGAAAUUUUUAACUUGGCAUUUCUUGUAAGAUGGUGUACUUUUUUUCACAAAGCUCUUAGAAGUGAGAACUGAAUUAUGUAUUCCCCCAUUAUUGGUUUUGUGUGUGGAAGUAGACUUUUAUGAUGGAAAUGUUCUGAAUUACGCA
Protopterus annectens (West African lungfish) is the source of this 2138-nucleotide long non-coding RNA. RefSeq lists it as uncharacterized. The transcript is spliced from 3 exons. The record is from RefSeq and is a predicted model, not a curated record. Lineage: Eukaryota; Metazoa; Chordata; Ceratodontiformes; Protopteridae.